Molecule: ribosomal RNA, 544 nt
Filed under: Lonatura catalina
Lineage: Eukaryota; Metazoa; Arthropoda; Insecta; Hemiptera; Cicadellidae
Description: partial 16S ribosomal RNA
Rfam family: Bacterial large subunit ribosomal RNA
Source: RNAcentral
CGCCUGUUUAACAAAAACAUUUCCUUUAGGUUUUUUUAAAGGUACUUUCUGCCCUAUGGUGAAUUCUAAAUGGCUGCAGUAUUUUGACUGUGCAAAGGUAGCAUAAUAAUUAGUUUUUUAAUUGAAGGCUGGUAUGAAUGGAAAAUUGAGAUACAUUUUUUAUUUAAUAUAAUUUUAAAAUUUAAAUUUUGAGUUAAAAUGCUUAAUUAGAUUCUCGGGACGAUAAGACCCUAUAGAACUUUACAUUAAUUUAAUUUAAUAAUUUUUUGAAAUGAUAUUUUACUAACAUAAAAUAUGUUUUGCUGGGGUGGUGGAUAAAUUUAAACUUUAUUAGUUAAAAUCAUUAUAAGUGUUAUUAUUGAUCUAUUUCUAAGGAAUAAAGAAUAAGUUACCUUAGGGAUAACAGCGUAAUUAUAAUGGAAAGUUCAUAUUUAUAUUAUUUUUUGCGACCUCGAUGUUGAAUUAAGGUAAAUCUUAAGAAGCAGUAUUCUUAAAUUUAAGUCUGUUCGACUUUUAAAUCGUACUUGAUCUGAGUUCAGACCGG